UAGAGUUUGAUCCUGGCUCAGGACGAACGCUGGCGGCGUGCUUAACACAUGCAAGUCGAACGGAAAGGCCCGCUUGCGGGUGCUCGAGUGGCGAACGGGUGAGUAACACGUGGGUAACCUGCCCCCUGCUUCGGGAUAACUCCGGGAAACCGGGGCUAAUACCGGAUAUUCAUUGCUGGCCGCAUGUUGUGGGGUGGAAAGCCUUGUGCGGCUAGGGAUGGGCCCGCGGCCUAUCAGCUUGUUGGUGGGGUGAUGGCCUACCAAGGCGACGACGGGUAGCCGGCCUGAGAGGGCGACCGGCCACACUGGGACUGAGACACGGCCCAGACUCCUACGGGAGGCAGCAGUGGGGAAUCUUGCGCAAUGGGCGAAAGCCUGACGCAGCGACGCCGCGUGAGGGAUGACGGCCUUCGGGUUGUAAAGCUCUGUCGGAGGGGACGAAAACGCUUAGGGUGAAUAGCCCUAGGAAUUGACGGUACCCUCAAAGGAAGCACCGGCUAACUCUGUGCCAGCAGCCGCGGUA
RNAcentral lists this ribosomal RNA (523 nucleotides) under uncultured bacterium. RNAcentral's name for it is "bacterial SSU rRNA". It matches the Rfam family "Bacterial small subunit ribosomal RNA", at positions 1 to 522 of the family's 1533-position model. The record is from RNAcentral.